AGCCCAAUGGUGUAAUGGAUCAUAACUGCUUCAAGGUCCAUUUCUAUUUGGGCUGUUUGGGCAGACAUCCUGGGUUCGAGCCCCAGUUGGGCCU
Non-coding RNA from Mycena olivaceomarginata, 94 nucleotides. NCBI's taxonomy places the organism in Eukaryota, Fungi, Basidiomycota, Agaricomycetes, Agaricales, Mycenaceae. The record is from the annotation of a GenBank genome assembly.